Molecule: ribosomal RNA, 254 nt
Filed under: uncultured bacterium
Lineage: Bacteria
Description: partial 16S ribosomal RNA
Rfam family: Bacterial small subunit ribosomal RNA
Source: RNAcentral
UACGUAGGUGGCAAGCGUUGUCCGGAUUUAUUGGGUUUAAAGGGCGCGCAGGCGGCUGCUCAAGUCAGGCGUGAAAGGCCUGGGCUCAACCCGGGAAUUGCGCUUGAGACUGGGCUGGCUUGAGUGCGGGAGAGGAUGGUGGAAUUCCCAGUGUAGAGGUGAAAUUCGUAGAUAUUGGGAAGAACACCGGUGGCGAAGGCGGCCAUCUGGACCGCAACUGACGCUGAGGCGCGAAAGCGUGGGGAGCAAACAGG